RNAcentral lists this long non-coding RNA (1245 nucleotides) under Homo sapiens (human). Its description in RNAcentral is "HSALNT0222441". Lineage: Eukaryota; Metazoa; Chordata; Mammalia; Primates; Hominidae. The record is from RNAcentral.
UGACAGUGACAUACUUCUAAUUUGUCAAUGAAUAUUUAGCCAACCAAUUUAAGUUAAACAAAAAAGAAAUAAUACUGAUAAAAGAGGCAAUAGUAACUUGCUGCUCAUAUAUGUUUCCUUCCAGGUUUUCUAAAAAUUGCACUGAAUCAAGCUUCAUUUUUAUUCUUCAGCCAUAUCCCUGACUCCUCAGGAGAACUGAGGUUUUUUUUUUCCCCAAAUGAAAACUUUUGAGUUUCUAAAGCUCAAAAAUGCAAAAUCUGACGCACAUGGUUAAAUGAGAUGUGGUUAUCAACUUACACCAAGCCUAACUUACCACAAAAUAGAAAAUAUCAGAGAAAGGAGUUCACAAGCAGAAAACCUCUGCUUUCUAACUCACAAUAGAGUCUUGUCCAAUAUUAGACAACACUGCGUUUUGUUGUUGUUUUAGCUACAAGGAAGGGUAUGCAAUAUGCAGUAACUAUUCCAACAGCUUCAAGCAAGUCAUCUGCUACGACUAGAAAAAGUAGCAAUUAGGUCCCAAACAGCAAAGACAUAAAAAAGAUGUAAGCAGAAGCCUCACCAUCUGAAAAGAAGGCCCAUCAGCACCUCUUCCGAGAAAUACUUCCCUUCCCCCACCUUUAAGUAGGCACUUGAGACUGCCAAGAUCCAUUUCUUUAUUAACUGGUGCCCACUUGGGGCAACUGUACACCAAGCUGCUCUUAGGCCUACUCUAAUCCCUUCCAAAAGUGCUCAAAUGAGGCUACGGCCGGGGUAAGUCCCGUCAGGGCCCAAUUCUUCCUGACUCCUCUUCUCCACCCCACCUCCUCCGCCCCGCCCCAGUAGGCGAUCGCCCGGCCAGAGAAAGGACACCCGGCCCAGGGACUGGCAGAAAUUGCCCGCAAGAGAAGGCUUAGGCGACCGAAGGCCUCCGCCAUAGCAGGACUUGGGAAGCACCGCCCCCAGCGCACCUCCCCACACCCGGCUAAUCGGCGAACCUCUGCUUUCGACACCCUCUAUCCCCAGCAGAGGCAGCGGAGAAGACAAGGCCGGGAGGCACCGGGCUAGGCUGCGCACCAGGCCCAGGCCUGUCCCUCGGGACCGCGCGUGCCGCCUGAAUCCGCUCCCCCGUCGGGCCCGGUCCAGCUGGCGCGGCGGCCACCCUCACCUGGAUGACCUCGUUGACCUCCCGGAUACAUUCCACCAUGUGUUGUAGAAUCUGCUCGGCCGUGAGCACCUCGUAGCGGUAAUCCUCCUCCUGCUCAUGCC